CUCGGGGUGGGAGCAAUCUGGGAAGCUCCUCCGGCUCCUAACCCGAAGGUCAUAGGUUCAAAUCCUAUCCCCGCAACCA
Molecule: transfer RNA, 79 nt
Filed under: Burkholderia cenocepacia PC184
Lineage: Bacteria; Pseudomonadati; Pseudomonadota; Betaproteobacteria; Burkholderiales; Burkholderiaceae
Description: tRNA-Arg
Rfam family: tRNA (bases 3-73)
About the family: Transfer RNA (tRNA) molecules are approximately 80 nucleotides in length. Their secondary structure includes four short double-helical elements and three loops (D, anti-codon, and T loops).
Source: RNAcentral